UAGUAUUUUUGAAACUUGUACCACCAACUUUCCUCAAUUUCUUUAUUUUUAUUGGAUCGUUUCGGUAUUUCGAUCUGUUCUCUGUGAAAUUGAGAUCCUUGUAAUCAAACGUUCUAGGAACAAAUCCAACAACGAAAUUUCUUUAUUUUUUUACAUCUAACUAAGUCCUAAACUAAAGAUCGGACUAGACUCCAUUACAAAGCUUAGAUUUUAGGAAUUAAGCACGUGAAAAUAUAAGCAAAACCCCCAAAAAAAUUUGGACUAGAAAAGUUGAAAAAAUUACAAAAUAAAGCAAAUCUCACACUGGAAUAGUAUUACAAACUCUGAGAUUUUAAGAACUAAAAACAUGCAAUAAUGAAAAUCAAAAAAUCUGAUUUGGUAAAGUUGAAAAAAAA
This 395-nucleotide long non-coding RNA is filed under the name Capsicum annuum. RNAcentral describes it as "long non-coding RNA (CANN_LNC001397)". Lineage: Eukaryota; Viridiplantae; Streptophyta; Magnoliopsida; Solanales; Solanaceae. The record is from RNAcentral.